This 253-nucleotide ribosomal RNA is filed under the name uncultured bacterium. RNAcentral describes it as "partial 16S ribosomal RNA". It matches the Rfam family "Bacterial small subunit ribosomal RNA", at positions 524 to 776 of the family's 1533-position model. The record is from RNAcentral.
UACGUAGGGUCCGAGCGUUGUCCGGAAUUACUGGGCGUAAAGAGCUCGUAGGUGGUUUGUCGCGUUGUCCGUGAAAACUCACAGCUCAACUGUGGGCGUGCGGGCGAUACGGGCAGACUGGAGUACUGCAGGGGAGACUGGAAUUCCUGGUGUAGCGGUGGAAUGCGCAGAUAUCAGGAGGAACACCGGUGGCGAAGGCGGUUCUCUGGGCCUUACCUGACACUGAGGAGCGAAAGCGUGGGGAGCGAACAGG